This is a long non-coding RNA of Parambassis ranga (Indian glassy fish), 775 nucleotides long. The record is from Ensembl. Lineage: Eukaryota; Metazoa; Chordata; Actinopteri; Ambassidae.
GUGUUUGCAGCCCAGACCAUUGAACCAGGGGCUUUUGUACUGGAGUACAGGGGUGAACUCAUAUCAGUGGAAGAAUGCCAGUCAAGACACUACUCAGAGAAAGAGUGUGAGAAGGUGACCACAGGCAGGCUCCAGCUGGGGCAGUUGAUCUGGGGAUGUCCUCCACACAUCACACUUCACAUGGAGCUUCACACAAAGAUGGUGUCAGCACACAGGUUAUGGUUUCCAGGUUUUGCCUUGUGGAGUACUCUGAUAGUGAGGAUACAGAUGAAGGCUGUGGAACAGACCACCCUUUGACUUCACACUGUAAUGAAGUUGUUCAAAACAAAAGAAUGACAGACAUUUUGGUAAGCCUCAGAUACAUUAAAUACAUAAUAUUGACUAGAGAAGAAUUUCAAAAACCUAUGAAUUUCCUUGAUGUAAGGAACAUCAUGAACCACAUCUGCACGUGUCUGUGUUUUGCAGAAAGAUGCAGUGUCAGAUGUUGCUAAAUCUGUGUCUGACUCAGAUGAGAUGUUGAUGAUUCAAUAAAGACAGAUUCAGUCUGCACUCAGACAAUGAGGCUGUUCAAAGCUUAGAGGACAAAAAGUGUUCUGGUAUGUGUUAAUGGCCAUUUCUCACUUUUCCCAAUGUAAUAUUUUUUCUUACAUUAAGAAUGAAAUGAUUACAAAUGUCUUGUUUUGCAGAUGGAUGACAUGCCACGCUCCGAUGCUCUCUGUGAUUCAAGUGAUGAUGACGAUGCUCACCCUUCCACAUCAAAGGCCAAAGAGAAGGU